CACGUGGGAAUAUACCUUUCGGUACGGAACAACUGCGGGAAACUGCAGCUAAUACCGUAUACGUCCUAACGGAGAAAGAUUUAUCGCCGAAGGAUUAGCCCGCGUUCGAUUAGCUAGUUGGUGAGGUAAUGGCUCACCAAGGCUCCGAUCGAUAGCUGUUCUGAGAGGAAGAUCAGCCACACUGGGACUGAGACACGGCCCAGACUCCUACGGGAGGCAGCAGUUGGGAAUCUUGGACAAUGGGGGAAACCCUGAUCCAGCCAUGCCGCGUGAGUGAUGAAGGCCUUCGGGUUGUAAAGC
RNAcentral lists this ribosomal RNA (300 nucleotides) under uncultured Alphaproteobacteria bacterium. RNAcentral describes it as "bacterial SSU rRNA". It matches the Rfam family "Bacterial small subunit ribosomal RNA", at positions 114 to 431 of the family's 1533-position model. The record is from RNAcentral. Lineage: Bacteria; Pseudomonadati; Pseudomonadota; Alphaproteobacteria.